Motacilla alba alba is the source of this 1533-nucleotide long non-coding RNA. RefSeq lists it as uncharacterized. The record is from RefSeq and is a predicted model, not a curated record. The transcript has 4 exons. NCBI's taxonomy places the organism in Eukaryota, Metazoa, Chordata, Aves, Passeriformes, Motacillidae.
AUAGUCAAGGGAUGUUGUUCCCAGACCUGGCUCAUGCCCAGGCCAUUGGGCAUUGCUGGAAGAGCAGAGGGUGACUUCUGCUCUGUCACUGCAGCCACCUCUUGGCCUGCCUGCUUUAUUCUUCUGUGUCACUUAAUAUAAAUUAUAAAAUAUUAAAUCAGAUAAAUACCUCUAACCUUUCUGGAUGAUAAGAAAAGAUAUUGCUCAGCCUCCUAAAAUGCCUUGUAUGCGCUGGAAAAUGCUAAUGGGAUUAUAUAAAGGUUAUUUCAGCCUCCUUUCAAGUCUGGAGACAUGGCAAAACAAUCAUGAUGCCCUUUGUUUAUGCCUUUUUAAUGACUGCUUUUACCUUCAGGUGUUUGAGGCUUUGCAUCUUUUCAGGUGAUCCUCUGGGAAGUCCUUGCGCUGCUGCUUUGUGGGAACUUCCUGAGGAAUGUAAACGUGCUUGUGAUUUUAGAGGUCUGGAGGAGAGCUGGGCUGUUGGAGCACUCUGGGAGUCUGGCAAGGGUUUGUUGUGCAUGUUUUGAUGCCCUUGUGUAUUUUGCCGGUCAGGAGCUGCAUCCACGGGUCCAACAAGCUCCUGUGCUGUGUCUGUGCAGCAGUGCCUGCACCGGUGAGCUGCAGUGCACCUCUGGGGCACUGCUCAUGUCCUUCCCUCGAGGCCCCUGCUGUCAGCCUGUGCCAGGCUGUGCAGGGAGGAGCUCAGUGUGUGGCACAGCCCUUUUUUCAUCCUCCAGUGCAGAGGGACCUUUGCUACACCGUGCAGGAGGGAAUUUCUGGAUGGAGUAAUUGGAGAGGAAGAAGAAAUUGUUCCUGGAGAGCAGAGGGCAGGUUAGCUGAGCCAGCAGGUUUCACAGCCAUCAUUCACAGCUGGAAAGAGAAGGUGGUUGUCACUGCCUGUGGAAUACAAAAGCAUUUAGGCAAGAGCAGAGGCAGGAUUUCACAGCGUCAAAAGGUCGAUCUUGUUUCGGUUCCACACUGAGGAGUCCCUCACCAUAUUUUUGCUGCUGGCCAUGGGACCCUGAGACAAAGAAAUGCUGCUGAUUCCUGGUAGGCUGCAAUGAGAGUGCUGAGUGCAUUUCUCUGCUACACUGGCAUGAGUCAAUGUGAGUUCAACCUUUGGAAAAUUGUUUCUUGAAGGCCAGAAACAUUUGUUUGUCCUACAGUUAAACAUCUUUUGCUGACACAUCAGAGCCACCACAGUCCAUCGCUCAGUGUCCUGAGUGACAGCCCAGCUUAACUGAGGCCCCAUGGAUGCCUAACAGGAUAAAAAAAGGACAUGAAAUGUUCUAAUGUCUGCAGUUAAUGGGGUCAAAGGAGGCCCACAAUGGAAAACUUCAUUUUCAGAUGACUUUUGACUGUGCUGUUACAGUGCUUUUUCAGCAUUGUCUGUCAUGUUUUUAAGGCAUAAAAAUAAUUUUCUUCUUAACAAAUCUUACAAUGGUUUUAUUUUUUUUUUCCAUUCAUGAAAAGCCCAUUUGUCACACCCCCUUAUAGUUUCCUAUAUUUCUUCCUUUCUCUCAAAGCUUGGUUUGA